RNAcentral lists this long non-coding RNA (218 nucleotides) under Panax ginseng (ginseng). RNAcentral's name for it is "long non-coding RNA (PGIN_LNC014724)". The record is from RNAcentral. Lineage: Eukaryota; Viridiplantae; Streptophyta; Magnoliopsida; Apiales; Araliaceae.
UAUUAUCACAUUUCACCAUAACUACUCACUAGGAGUUUACAUCUUCUAAACAUUCAUCAAAACUAGGUUGUCAUAAUAACCUUUAUUUAAUCAUCUCAGAUUCUACUCGUACACAACGAGUUUACACUAUUUCAUAUCCAUCAUCACAUUCUACCACAACAUUACUCUGAAGAGUUUAAAAAAAAAACUUUUCAUAUCUGUCUGAGGGAUCAUAAAAA